This 253-nucleotide ribosomal RNA is filed under the name uncultured bacterium. RNAcentral describes it as "partial 16S ribosomal RNA". It matches the Rfam family "Bacterial small subunit ribosomal RNA", at positions 524 to 776 of the family's 1533-position model. The record is from RNAcentral.
UACAGGGGGGGCAAGCGUUGUUCGGAAUUACUGGGCGUAAAGGGUUCGUAGGUGGCCACUUAAGUCAGACGUGAAAUCCCUCAGCUUAACUGGGGAACUGCGUCUGAUACUGAGUGGCUUGAGUGCAGUAGAGGAAUGCGGAAUUCCAGGUGUAGCGGUGAAAUGCGUAGAUAUCUGGAGGAACACCGGUGGCGAAGGCGGCAUUCUGGACUGUAACUGACGCUGAGGAACGAAAGCCAGGGGAGCAAACGGG